CACACCUGGCAAUGGAUGUGACCUUCAGCACGGCCCAGGUUUCUUUCACUUGGAGGAGGCAAAGUGGUGAAUGGAAGGAGGCAAUCCUCUGGCAGUGGGAUGCUAGGGAGCGAUAAUAAGGCAAGUUUGCUUGCUUGAAGGCUGCUGGCAUCCAUGGUUGGAAGCUGGCGGACGUCUCAUGAUGGACCUAAGAGUAGCUUCUGGCACAAUGGGGCACCAUGACAGAAGCCAGAGUGCACAGAAAUGCUGUUUACCUUCCUGCCACAGCAGUACCUAUUUAUCUACUUGCACUGGCGUGCUUUCGAACUGCUAGGUUGGCAGGAGCUGGGACAUAGCCACGGGAGCUCACCCCGCCAUGCAGAUUCGAACUGCCAAACUUCUGAUCGGCAAACCCAAGAGGCUCAGUGGUUUAGACCACAGUGCCACCCGCUCUCAGCUGGUUCUGAAUACCAGUUGCUGCAAACCAUAGCAAAGGAAAAAGCUCUUGGAUUCGGGUCCUGCUGGUGUGCUUCCACUAUAACAACAAGAUGGGCUAUUUGAGUGAUCCAGCAGACUCUUCUUACGUUCUCUAGAACCUUUGCACGGGUUUCUGUGGUGAGGUACACAGAGGGCUCUGAGCACUUAGGAAAACCGCCUUAUAACUGGGCAUUAAAGUUUUGGCAGUUUCCCCUCCCAGGUGUCCAGCUUGCAUUAGAUGCCAUUAUGAAGGGUCUGGUUUUGGGAAGUGAGUGCAGCAAGGGGUGGUGUUCAAGACUCCCAGUACAGAAAGCUUCCCACUCUGAUCUCCAGGUGUAAGAAAGAUCUGGCUUGGGAAGAGUCUUGAAAGCUGAAUUGAGGGGCCUGAUGCAGAUGGUAAUACAGUGGUACCUCGGGUUAAGUACUUAAUUCAUUCCAGAGGUCCGUACUUAACCUGAAACUGUUCUUAACCUGAAGCACCACUUUAGCUAAUGGGGCCUCCUGCUGCCGCCGCACCGCUGCUGCGCGAUUUCUGUUCUCCUCCUGAAGCAAAGUUCUUAACCCGAGGUAAUAUUUCUGGGUUAGCGGAGUCUGUAACCUGAAGCGUAUGUAACCCGAGGUACCACUGUAAUUAAAAAGAGGUGUUUGGGAAUACAUUAGAGAGCUGGCAAUGUCCGUGGCUCUAUUGCAUGCAUGCUUGAUGGCAAAUCCUAUUCAGCUCCCAUGAAAAAGACGUGUUUUGACUUCCUUCUUCAGACGUUACCCUUCCAACUUGUGGAGGGAGAUUCUUCACUCUCUUUUGUGAGGGAUUCGGAGUGCUUAUUGAGCCCUACUGUGCCGUAAACAUCAAAUAGCUGCAAAGGAACAUGCAGAAACAUCUGACAAUGAUCUCUUGACUUUAGCCAACAUGGAACAGCCCCUAUAGAGAACCAAACAUUGGGUUCUAUGAGUUCUAUGAUGCCUCUUAUGUGAGCGAGCCAAGGAGGCUUCGGGCCUGGGAAUCUCGUGACACAGUGUUCCAGGAAGCAGCCUUUGUUUGCCCACACGGUGUCUCUUUUAUUUAUUAAUAUGCACGCCCAACAAUGCCCAUUGUCUCUUUUCAUAUUGGAGAGCUGUCACAUGAGCACUUCGGGUGUCACCCAGAGGAUUGUGAGGCAAAGCCAAGUGGCUCUCUGGUUCCAGCUCGAAAUGUUAUAAUACAUUAACACUCUGCACACUCGACAAAUGUCUCUUUUCAGACCCAAUCGCCCACGUACGUUUUCAAAGUUUUCAGUUACAAGGAAGCACCCAAACAAGGAAGCUUGCACAAAAGCGUUUUCUUCCUCUCGAGCUAAACAAAAGAAUGACUAAUUUAUAAAGUUGCGGAGGCAACAUCUCCUUGUGCACCAGAGGCAUCUAAGUGUGUAAUCAGAUUAGAAGGAAUUUAUGAAUACUGAAGACUUAUGCAAGAGUCAUUUCUUUGGAGCUCCUAAUUGCCAUGUAGAAAAAUGGGUAUUUAUAGUUUGAAAAGGGCCUUCCUUAUGUCUCCCUCAGGGCUUUUACGGAUGAUUUUCAUCACAUAAUAAACACACAGUUCUUUUUCCUUUGUUGUAUAAAACAUAAGGAAGCCCUCAUGCCGCAGGGAUACAGUAUUUUCCCAGAAUUUUGUCGCUGAGAAAAAUGUAAGUCCUUUCCCUAGUUAUUACAUCUAUUGUGAUUGCCUUGGGGAAUGUGGCUGAGGGACUCUCGCUGGAACAUAUAGGAUAACUUCUGUAACAUCAUUAGAGACCAGGACACAAUCCCUCACUCACGCCACUUCCUGACCUUUUGAAAAAGUUUAUUUUUGUAGUAGUUUUUUGCACUGAUCUCCACUUUCCCAUUUUGCCACAACAUUGCAGGAGCCUUAAUAUAGUUUUUUCUUUUUUCUUUCUUUUUUUUAAACACCAAACACCAAAAAGUGACCCUCUUCUGUAUUUUCCCACAAACCUUUGGCUUUUCAACUUUUUUCUUAUUUUUUUCCAUUUAUUUCAUAAGUAAUGUUCCCCACUCCAUGGCUAGAUUUCCAAAGGCAUUACAUAAAGGAACGUAAAAGAAAGAAAAAGAAAACAAUUAUCAAUUAAUGCAUGAGACAAACCAAAAAAAAUGCAUGAUGUACAACACCUCAUUCUUUCCACAUUUCUAAGUGGCCUUACAAUUAUUUUUUUGCUUUUCUUUAGUACUCUGAAAGCUACAUUUAUAGCACCGGAGUGCACUUCUGCACAGGUUUUAUUUUAAAAGCGACUGCUAUCUACAUGAGAAUGGGAUAUUGAAUUAAUUUGCGGGGUCAUAACUAGCACUGAGAGCACAGUACUAAGAACAAUAAGCUGGUUGUAUGAAGAGGGGAACACGUACAAAUGCCAUAUGUCUGGAAAAUUCCUGACAUGUCCUGUUUUCGGGUGCAAAAAUGGCACGGGGGGAUUUUGCCAAACCGGCAAACUGUCAGGGAAAACCCGGAUGGAUGGCAACGCGAUGGGAAAAGCAGCGGAAACAGUUCAAAAAGCUUAAAAUUACAAUUUUUGGGGUAGGUAUCCCCAGAAAAGCUCAACAAUUUGGGUUUGUUCCAGCAAAAAGCUUAAGAAUUUUGCGGUCUUCCUAAAAAAAAGUGCUCAACAACAGGAGUGUUACUUUUUGAAAUAUGGCAGCCCUAAAUAAAGCCAACAUUUGCUUUCCUCAAGUGCUCAAGUGCUGAAAUUAUAUUCUAUUUCACAGAAAUGCCUCCCAGACCUGAGUGCUGUGCAUGAUUAGAGAAUAUGAACCUACCCAGACCCUGAGAUCAUCUUCUGAGGCCCUCCUUCAUGCGCCUCCUCCUUGAGAGGUCCGGAGGGUGGCCACACGAGAACGGGGCCUUCUCUGCAGUGGCUCCCCAUCUGUAGAAUGCUCUCCACAGGGAAGUUCGCCUGGUGCUUUCAUUAUACAGUACACCUUUAGGCACCAGGCAAAAACAUUCCAUUUAAACCAGGCCUCUGGUUGAUCUAAUUUACAUCCUAUGCCCUUUUAAAAUGUGGUUUGGGGGGGCUAUUGGGUUGUUGUUUUUAUUUUUAUUAUGUAUUUUGUGGUUUUAUAUCUUGAUUUUAUUCUGUGAACCGCCCUGAGACCGCCCGGGUAUAGGGCGGUAUAGAAAUUCAAAUACAGUGGUACCUCGGGUUAAGUACUUAAUUCGUUCCGGAGGUCCGUACUUAACCUGAAACUGUUCUUAACCUGAAGCACCACUUUAGCUAAUGGGGCCUCCUGCUGCUGCCACGCCGCCAGAGCACUAUUUCUGUUCUUAUCCUGAAGCAAAGUUCUUAACCUGAGGUAAAAUUUCUGGGUUAGCGGAGUCUGUAACCUGAAGCGUAGGUAACCUGAAGCGUAGGUAACCCGAGGUACCACUGUACAAAUACUAAUACUAAUAUCACUCACAAAACCAGUCCUCAUGUUUUUGGAACCACAGUGCUUAUCUCAUAUUUCUUUUUGAACUUAUAAUUUAGACAUAAGUCCAGAAUCCUGGCUGGGAUGGUUUCACAUACCCUGGGGGCAUGUUUCAAAGGGAAAUCAUCAAAUAGGGAAGAGUUAUGCAUCAUUUUCCUUGUUCCCAAGAGGAAGGUAGCUGCUGGGUUAACAUUGCAUGCAACGCUGGCGUAAUUCUUGAUUUGGCACCAAGGUAUAUAAACCAGAUGGAGAGUGUCAUUGUUUUCUGGUGAAGAAAACAUAGCCACCCAUGCGCUAAGCACCCGAAUCUUGUAUGGCAAUUGCUGGUAUUUGUUUGAAAUGCAAGGAACUCUGAGAAGAAAAUAUCGUUCAGCUGAAUAGUUAUUAUGAUGGCUUGCACGCUAAAGCAAUCUCAAGUUGUUCUUAUACCUGGAGAUGGACAAAUUUGCCGAUUUUGCUUUGUCCCUAUCACUCAUUUUUCCAAUCUUCAGAUCACUACAUUUCUUCAUUGAUUUGCAAUUUACUUUGUCAGAAGGCCCCAUGAAAAUUCAGCACUUUAGGGCACAUUUCUCCUAAUAUACACGUUUUUCGGUGAGCAAAUUUCCCUAACACUUUGUAAGUUAUUUGUGUACAUUUCCCCCUAAUCAACACACUUUUGCACUUUUUUUUUGGGUUGGAAAACUACAUUGCAAAAUUCAGAAAGGGGUGAAUUUAAAAGCUGGCAUUUUGCCUCCCCUGUUUCAGGCAGUACAAAUUAGGGAGAUUUGCAUUAACAUGUAAGCUGAAUUAUUCAGCCAACUGAAUUAUUCAUAUUCAUCCUCUCCAAUCCUAGCGACACUGAAAAAUCUAUGGAAACUAAUAGGGGAAAUUCUGAAAAGCUUAUCAUUUUGCUAAAAAUUCAAGACAAUGAAAAAGGUUGGCACGAACUGAAUCAGUAUGCAACCACUGAAUUAAAAACUUUCCAGGCUACCAAUGUUCUUUUGCUGCUGUGGAAGAACUUGGUGACUGGCAAAGAAGAAGAGCGGCACCUAGUGGCCAAAUGGUUUUAUGUCUUUAAUGUAUUUUUUCUUCCCUAACCCUUUUCCUUCUUGCAGCACCAACUAAUUCUUAGUUUUGUGGUUGUUGUUUUUUAGCAUGGAGGAGAUGCAGCUUAAAACUGAUCCACUUAAAAAACGAAUUCAGAACGUUUUAAAAAGGAACCCACUUUGAAAGAAGCUUGUUAUUGCUGAUACUGAAAAUAUGAACAGCUGCAACGAAAUAUUUACAAUGAACUAAAAUUAGAGGAGUGGGGGCUAAUGGGAUUUAGCGCAAGAAAACAAUCUAGUCCAGGCAUCCCCAAACUCGGCCCUCCAGCUGUUUUGGGACUACAAUUCCCAUCAUCCCUGAUCACUGGUCCUGUUAGCUAGGGAUGAUGGGAGUUGUAGUCCAACAACAGCUGGAGGGCUGAGUUUGGGGAUGCCAGAUCUAGUCCAAAGAGGAGAUAUUGCCAUGUUUAUUUCUAGCUCCCAUAAUUUUCAGCUAUGCGAAAUUUGCUUUAGUAAAGGUAGGAUUUUUUUUAAAAAAAACAAAACAAAACAAGGUUAAUAAUAAUAAUAAAUUUUAUUUAUACCCCGUCCUCCCCAGCCAAGACCGGGCUCAGGGCGGCUAACACCCGAUUUAAUUAAUUGAAUUACCAGUGGUGUGGGUGAAUGCUGGCCGGAUUAUGACAGAUUAUGCCUGUCAGGUUGUCACAUGGAAGAUGGAGCAAUCUUGUAAAAGUACGAUUGGAAUAUCACUUGUAGUUUAAGGGUGAAUUCUAGAUACAAUAGAGAUGUAAAAGAUUUGGACUAUCAAAAAAGAUGCAGAAGGAAAUGAUUAAUAACAGGACCCACAAAGGGCAGGAGGGAAGUCCAGGAGAUUCCUUGAAAUCUUGUUUUUGUUGAUUUAUGUUUGAUAUAUCUGUGUGGAAUUUUAAUUUGAAAAAGCAAAUAAAUAUAUAUUUUUUUUUAAAGGAAGGGGGAGCAAGUUUGUUUUCUCCUGUUCCAGAGAAAUAGCAACCCUGCGACUUGCUCCAGAGUGAACAUCUUUUGAUCCGGUGCUCUGGGGCAAGAGAUGGGCUUUAAAAAUGGGACAUUCCAGGAUCCAAACAGAAGCCAUGUUUAGAUUCUGUGAUCUGGGAUGUUCCGCUUAAAAAGGGACCCUUAUAGGGUAUGCAUACACUACCAGCUUGGGGGUUUACUAACAUCACAAUUUGACUCAAGAGGUCAGGGAGCCCCUGAAUCACCUUUUGGUUAGCCAAGCCCCAUAGAGCGUUGAUGCAUACUCCUGGAAUCUAGGACCUAGAUGAAGCCUAACAUUAAAAUCCCUGUGAACUGGGGAUCUUUCUAACUAUGAGGACCAGAGUAAAAUCUAGACUGUGUCCAGGCCGUGGGUAGAUACUUAUCUAAACUAUAUCCAUAUAUCUGUAUCUAUAUAGAUAUGUAUUCAUCUUGUUCCCGGCUGUACACAGAGGUUAUUUUUGGCCAUGCCAUAAAUCGAUGAACUCAAAUUACCCAGCUCUUUUUAAAAAAAUCAUUGAAACAAUAUGCAAAUGUACAAAUGCACCAUUUAUUUUUAGGGCAUGAACCAAGCCUAGAAUAUAAUAGAGGAUAUUUCCACUAUCCUGAAUGUGUUUUGAAUGUAGCCUUUCCCAGAAUGAUCCUUCUGGGAAACCUAUUUAUUAUGAUAACAUUGCAGAUAGGUAUCAAUCAUCUGCCCCAAAGCAACGACUGCUGCACUAUUUCCCGCCAAUUUCUGUUUGAAUAAUUAAUACCCACACAAUGCUAAUUGAUCAUACAUAUAGUAAGCAUUAACAAAUAGGUAGCAGAUAUAGUAGACGGAAAGAAAGAAUGAAUUGCUUUCCUUUGGACCACAUCAGCACGAAUGAGAUGGGGGUCUUGUUGCCUGGGAAGCCCAGGACCUCCAUACAAAUUGUCCAGGCUUGCACCCCAGGGAGGUAACAUUGGGGCUGCUAACACAGUGGUUUGACUUCACCCCCAAAAGCACACUCCAUUCUCUCUUGAGACAGAUGGAUGCCAGCUACAGCAACAAAUAUAUAUGCAGUUUCAUAUCACUUAACAUUCUUCUUUGGGUUUCAAAAUACAGUGGUACCUUGGUACUCGAACGGCUUGGCUGCCGAACAAAUCGCAAACCUGAACGCCACAAACUCGUAAAUAAGUACUCCAGUUUGCGAACAUUUUUUGGAAGCUGAAUGUCCGACACAGCUUCCCUUUGAGUGCAAGAAGCUCCUGCAGCCAAUCAGAAGCCGCACCUUGGUUUUUGAACAAUUUCGGGAGUUGAAUGGACUGCUGGAAUGGAUUAAGUUCAAGAACCAAGGUACCACUGUAGUAUGUUGUUGUGGUUUAGUCGUUUAGUCGUGUCCGACUCUUUGUGACCCCAUGGACCAGAGCACGCCAGGCACUCCUGUCUUCCACUGCCUCCCGCAGUUUGGUCAAACUCAUAAUCAUAUAUAAUUUAUAAAUCAGCAGAUUAUAAUAAUCUGAAAUUCAAAACAGAUCAAGAUUUCCCAUAAUAGAACAAUACUUCUAAAACUCUUAACUUACUAAUAAUAUUAUAUUCAACAUUCCCUCCUCUCUUCUCAAUAAUUGACCUAUACUUGAACCUCACUACAGUGGUACCUCUGGUUAAGAAUUUAAUUCGUUCUGGAGGUCCGUUCUCAACCUGAAACUGUUCUUAACCUGAAGCACCACUUUAGCUAAUGGGGCCUCCCGCUGUUGCCGCGCCGCCAGAGCACAAUUUCUGUUCUCAUCCUGAAGCAAAGUUCUUAACCCGAGGUACUAUUUCUGGGUUAGCGGAAUCUGUAACCUGAAGCGUCUGUAACCUGAAGCGUCUGUAACCUGAGGUACCACUGUAGGUGGGUCGCCAUCACGCAUGACCAAGCUAGCAAAAGACGAAAGUUAAGCAGAGCCGUGUGGGUGUAACCAACUUCAGCAAAACGCCUGGCAGUUUAAGCCAGAAAUAGAUUCCUUUCAAACAGAAAGAGUGUGCAUUUUGAGUAGGGAAUGGAAAAGGAAUAAAAUCUCUAGGCAGUUCUACUGUUACGACAAUUACACCCGCCUUGAUUUGCUGAAGCUGGCAUUACUCUAAAGACAUCUAUAACAAUGGAUAUGUAAGCAGGGGCAAAUGUGUAGGUGGAAGGAAUAUUAGAUAUUGUCUCAGGUUAUAUUAGCUGUUCUGUCGCAGUCUGCUUUGCCAGGAACAUAAUGCAUACAUUCUUUCAUAAAUUAAAAAAAGUCAGUGGAUUCCAACAGAAACUUUGCUUGGGGCGACAGUCAAGGGCAAGAAUAGAAAACGAUUGUUCCAUAUGUUUUGAAUGUAUCUUUCAAUUCGUAGAAUAGUAGAAUUGCAGAGUUGGAAGGAGCCCAAGAGUCAAUGCAGGAAUCACAGCUAAUAUGUCUCUGACACAGGGGUGUCAACUUGAAUAAAAUAUUGGGAUGGCUCAAGUAAGCCCUUCCUUGCAUAAUCCAUCACAAGAUGCAACACACACACACACACCAUUUGAAUGGCAAUUCAACUGUGGGAGUGUGUGGCCCGCUCAACUAUUUUGUGGGGAGACUGAAGGGAUUUUGGCCCCUAGGAGUUGGCUCCUAUGCUCUGAUAGACGUUUUCAGGUGUGUACAAUUUUCACCCAUAUAUUCAACAAACGUUUUCCGAUCUUCUCUAACUGUAUGUUCUUCUUGUUCUUGUAUUCUAUAUGUUAAGUCUGCAAGCUGUGCAUAUUCCGUCAGCUUAAGUUGCCAUUCUUCUUUAGUUGGGACCUCACUUGUUUUCCAUUUUGGGGCUAACAAAACACGGACCGCAGUCGUGGCAUACACUCUGUAUGCCACAGAAUUUGUACUCCUUUCCAGGACAUUGCCAGAGCCCUAGCGCCUCCCUCCCAAAGCCCUGCGUCUCCGUUACCCAACUUUGGGAAGGUAGUGUGAGGGCUCUGGCAGCCUCGUGCUGCCUUCCGAAAGCCAGUAAGCAUGGUGGCUCACAGUGCUAUUUUUCUAGAAAAAGAGGUGCCGGAACUCACCAUGAACGCCUCCCUCAUUCUCUUAGAGUGGCACUGGCGUCCAUCUGAGAUGUGCCCCAGGAAACUCAAAAUAGGCCUCCUCAAAAUCAUAGGCCCAUGCCCAUUGCCCCCCCCCCCCCCCGGUUCUGGCCUGGGUAGGAAUUAAGGUUUGUGCUCCAAAUUCUGAUUGAGGAAGGCGGGGCAGGAACAAAACUUAUUUUCAAAGUUUAAUCAUGGGGAUGCAGCUGAAGAAAUCUAAUAGCCCACGCUUGUCCUGAUUUUCCUUAUAUAUAUCAAAUUUCUGUCCAUCUGGAUUCAUUCGGAUCUGAUCUAAAUUCUUCCCCUUCUUCCACAUAAGUCUGCAAAGUGGAUUUAACGGAAUAAAUGAAUAUCACACUCCAUUUUAUAUCGGAGGAGCAGAAAAGGGAGAAUUCGUCUAUACUAAAUAUAUCGGAUUAAAAGGUUAGGGCUCAACAGGACAAUAAAAGCUAAGGCUUCCUGCUGGCAUCUAUUUGUCAAAAAUACUGAUUUUACUCCCUAGGUCCAAUAUUUAUAAUGUGAUGCUAGGUGGCAAGGGUCAGCAAACUUUUUCAGCAGGGGGCCGGUCCACUGUCCCUCAGACCUUGUGCGGGCCGGUCUAUAUUUUGAAGGGGGGGGAAUGAACCAAUUCCUAUGCCCCCAAAUAACCCAGAGAUGCAUUUUAAAUAAAAGGACACAUUGUACUCAUAUAAAAACAUGCUGGUUCCUGGACCGUCCAUGGGCCGGAUUUAGUAGCCUAUCCAUGGCUGGCCCGAGACAUUUUCUUCCUGCUGUGAAGGGCAAAUUCUUACAACACCAUUGAUGGGAUGUCCUCCUCUACUACAUCUGGGGGAAGCAAGUUAGGGAAUGCAAGGCAGGCUGUGAAUAGCGCACCUAGUUCUUCAUUGUCUUCAUUAUCUUUCUGCAUCUCCUAGAAUCUGCCACCUGAGGUGUCCGCCUCAUUCUGCUUAAUGGCAGAGCCAAGCUCUACAAUGAAGAGUGGAAUGAACUUAUCAUAUGUGGUGGCCUUGUAGUAGGGUUAAGGCUUACUGGGAAAUGAUAUACAAUGUAAUGAAAAAGAUGUUAAAAAUAACAUUUGUAAAAAAAACAAACCCAACAAUAACAACCAGAAGCCUUUCUCUUGGGAACUGUAGGGAUAGAAUCGUAUCGAAUGUUUUUCAUGUAUUUGACUCCGAUGGCAAGAAUGUUUCUUGCCCUAAAAUGUAAAGAAGGAGAAGUCCCAGCAAAGGAAGAAUGGAUACAAAAACAUAAGGAAUAUGCAGAAAUGGUGAAACUUACUGGAAGAAUAAGAAAUCAAGAUAACAAACUUUUUUUAUAAAAGAAUGAAAUGGUUUAUUGAAUAUUUACAGACAAAUUGUAAACAGAUAAAAACACUGGCAGGAUUAUUGGAAUAACCUGCAGCUACAUAAGAGUAUAUAUUUAAAAAAGAUAAGUAAAUGAGUAUGUUAAGUUAAUUUGGAUAUGCAGAAGAAACUAAAAAUAAACUUAAGGAACCGCAGACAAAGGGGGAAGGAAGUCAAGUUUUAAAAGUGUCAAAAUGACUGUAAAAUCAGUGAAAUGUAUAUAUCUGAAAAGUAUGCUUCUUUUUUUAAUGAGUAAAAUGAACCACUUUCUUCUGCAUUUAGAUCCAAAGAGAGAUCAUUUUAACGGAUCCUUCUCUCCCCCCCCCCCUUGCUACGAUGACAUGAAAUGAUGGCCACCCAUUUUAGGCCUUUGUGUAAUCCUCCUUUCUCUGCAUUUGCUUGUGAGCAAUGAGUCUUCAGUCACUGCUGCCCAUUUGUCUCUCUAUAAAGCACGAAGACAGAGUCACAAAGGAAAUGUUGAAGAACGGGAGAUGCUUCCUAUCCAAAUAAUAAGAUUGCCAAUAUUUAAACAAAGCUGGUUCUGCCACUGUGCCUUAAAACACAAACAUUUGAAAAACACAUCAUUAAAUGCCAUUGUAACAAUGGGGGGGUGUUCUUCUUUGUAGAAGCCGCCCAGAGUGGCUGGGGAAACCCAGCCAGAUGGGCGGAGUACAAAUAAAUUAUUAUUAUUAUUAUUAUUACUACUACUACUACUAUUAGGGCUAUUUCAUCAACUGUGGGAAAGAUGAGUUCACAUUGUGUUUCCGAGCACAAUUCAGAGAGUUGGUGCUGACCUUUAAAGCCCUAAAUGGCCUCAGCCCAGUAUACCUGAAGGAGCGUCUCCACCCCCAUCGUUCAGCCCAGACACUGAGGUCCAGCUCCAAGGGCCUUCUGGCGGUUCCUCACUGUGAGAAGUGAGGUUACAGGGAGCCGAAGGCCUUCUGGCGGUUCCCUCCCUGCGAGAAGUGAGGUUACAGGAAACCAGGCAGAGGGCCUUCUCGGUAGUGGUGCCUGCCCUGUGGAACACCCUCCCAUCAGAUGUCAAGGAAAUAAACAACUAUCUGACUUUUAGAAGACACCUAAAGGCAAUCCUGUUUAGGGAAGCUUUUAAUGUCUGAUGUUUUAUCGCCUUAUCAUCAUCAUCAUCAUCAUUAAUUCUACUGGGAGCCGCCCAGAGUGUGGAAACCCAGCCAGAUGGGCGGGGUAUAAAUAAAUUAGUAGUAGUAGUAGUAGUAGUAGUAGUAGUAGUAGUAUUACAGUUCUUCACUAGCAGCCUCUGUGUCAAAUACUGCAACAGGUAGAGAUAAGAUGCAGGUUGAAAUUCAUAUGAUAAAUUCAUGCCCACCCUGUAAGCUUUGAGUGGCUAUGGCCAUACAUUUUAUUCCAAUUAAAUUUUGCUCAGAUCAGACUCAUUAAAAUUAAUAGAUCUAAGUUAGUCAUGCCUAAUAGCUUUAAUGGGUCUACAGUGAAUAUGGCUAACAUUAGAGACCCUACCCUACAUUUUCAUGCUAAAGCCUCUUAAAAUUUAUUAUUUCCCUCUUAUCUUGACCCAGAUCUUACGAGCAGCCGAGAAUGAAAGCAACCAUAUGUAGAAUGAAAAAUCUUUUCUAAUUUGAUAGGACCAACCUUGGGAUAUCAUAUACUAAAUUGGAGAUGGCGGCUAGUGAUAAAUCAAGUUGGAAAGUAUUGUUAAUAAAGGAAAAGCUAUCUUGGCAUUGGUUACCAGGGCAACCCAGAUGAAGAGAUUCUGCCAGACUGAGUUCCAAAACUUAAAAUACUGAAAGGCAAAUGAUGACCGACUCAAACAUCAAGUCUAUAUUACAGCUGUAUUCCUGGAAGCAUGUGAGGUGUCAGCUAUAGUUUUUGUCAGACAUGCCCUCAAUGACUGGCUGAUAUUACUUGCAGUAGGAAAGGCUGUUGCGGAACAAUAAUAAACACACAAAACAGGUAGCAACUCUUCUAAGAAAAUUUAAUUACCUGCUGUGAUCUAGUCUGAUUCUGUACCGGGUAUUCUAUAAUCUGUGACUGGAUUCUGUUACGUAUGUUUAAUUCAAAGCUGCUCUGUUUUGUUUUCUUGAAAUCCAUAAAAUGUAUUAGGAACAAAGAGAACUUUUUUUUUUUACAUUUUUAAAAGCAAAUACCCAAUAGAAAAAAACCCACAUGUUACAACCAACUUCAUGCAUAUGAUAAAAAAAUACUUAUAUGUGCAUGACGAAGGCCCGUUAAUUGCACUAGACACUGGAGAAAAUGAGAAAAUGAGUUGAUGAAAUUGACGAAACAGAGGAGGUUUAAUUAUAUUAUUUUAAUUUAAAAUACGUAAAUGAAAAUAAGGUUAGAAGGAUUUGCUGGAAAUACGAUCUGAACUAGAAUACAAAAUUGGGAGGUGAGAGGAAGUCAUGGAAAUAAGUAAAGGGAAAAGGCUAUGUAAAGGUUUAAUCUGUUUUUGCUUUAUUUUAACUUAAUGCAUUUUUAUAUUUUUUGUUAAGUCUUCUUUUUUAUUCUAUUUUAUUGUUUACUUUAAUCUUUUUAUUUUUCGCUUUGUUAUGGUUAAAGUUUUCUUUGUAUUUUGUAUGGUUUUUCUUUCUCUUUUUUGGUAACUUUAAACUUGGAAUAAAUAUCAUUUAAAAAAAAUAGACACUGGAGAAAAGAGAUGAAUUGACAUUUGCAGGGAACUCUUUUGAAAAAUAAAACAGUGCUUUGCUUCUGUUAUUAUUAUUAUUAUUAUUAUUCCUGCUAUACUAGGUCCCGGGGUCUUUUAAGAAUGUGGUCUGGUUUUUGGAGUGCAUUCUGGAAACCUUAAGAUACUGAUGUAAACUGUAUAUAUUAAAAGCCGAACUCCAGGAACACAGACAUUCUGGGCAAAGUCUGUAAUUACAGCUCUCAGUGUUUGUUUGUUUUUUAUUAAUGUUUUGGCCACCAAUCAGUGGACUAUUCAAUGUUCACUGUUUGGCUGCCGGUGUGAGUAAAAGGACAGAGAAUGUUGAUUGGUACUGGAGUGCUCCACCUCUAAGACACCUCCGUAAUUCUGAUUCAACAAUUGGCUUGGGUGCCACAGCAGAGACAAAGCCAUGCUUUUGCAUGUUCAGACCUUUAAACCUCCCCCUUAAAUAAAUUCAGUCAAGACUCAAAUUUUGGUUUGGUUUUUGGGAGAAUUUAGGCCACAACUUUAUAGAUUGCAGCAAGUGAGUGGUUUCAUAGGCUCUGGUUCGACUAGCUCCCUGCCUUGCAGGUAGCGCUGACCCAGGGCACCAGCAUAGGUCAGCCUAGGGUGAACACCCGGAUAGGCGGAAAGGCUAUGUCCACCACCCAGAUGUCCCCCUAGACUCAGGCACGGGCACAACCCCCUCUCAGGGGUUGAACAAACCAUCGAGUCCCUGGAUUCCUUUAACGGAAUACCCUUCACGUAGGGAUGGCGAGAGCGUUCUCCCAUCCCUGUCACCUGAACCAGAGCCUAUCCACAAUCUUACAAGUUGUGACGAUUUGCUAUGCAGCUGGCGAAACCCAAAUGGCACCAGCCAAUCAGCCAAGUGGGGAAAAUUCCUGCCGUGCUCCUGUCCCAAUGACAGACGACACACAACGGCAUAGCAAGGUCAAGCGCAAAGCCCUAAAAGUAGGGAGAGGUGGGCGGGUGUUCCGAAUGCACACGCCAAAGGAGGAAGCUCUGGGUUACGUGCAUGGGUAUAAAUAGGUCCCUUGAGGACCCAAUUUAGCUUUGUAAAUAAAUGUAGAAAUAGAGAGAAGUGCAGACUUCUGUCAGAAGCCCUUCAAGUGACUAUCACAAACAAAUUCAGACAGUAGUUUCUUUCAUGCGUCCCUCGAAGCCUGAGGAGAGAAUGUGAAAUACAAAACCUAACCCGCACACAGUCUCCAUAAGAUAAUUAAAAAACACACAUUCUUGUUUCUAGGUCUAAAUUGAUUGAUCUCUUUGUAUAUUUUUUUACUCCCUGUUGCUCCUCUGAUUCUAGACGGUUCCUUAGGCUCCUUGUUGUUUGUGAGGAGGUCUGAAUUUCAACACUUCCUGGACAUCCGCAUUCAUAUUUAUACAUCAUACUCUACAUUUUUUUUAAAAAAAAAUCAAGUCUAAUGAAAUGAGGUUCUCAAUCAGUAGAGCAUGAUACUCUUAAUCUCAAAGUCAUGGGUUUGAGGCCCAAGUCGGGCAAAAGAUUCCUGCAUUGUAAGGGGGUUGGGCUGGAUGAUGCUCACGGUCCCUCCCAAACUUGAUUCUCUGAUGCUCUAAUUCUCUGAAACCUAUAUUCCUCCUCCCAUGGGUUUCAUCUAUUCUUUCACACAUCACAUUAAUGAACAUGCAAACACCAUUCUGCCUCAACCACAUUUGAAACGUCCCAUGUACUCACACAAACAUAUACCGGUACCAGUCGACAUCCAAAAACAUGACAUCCAUUCAUGUUCGUGCCCUGGCUUCAGUCCACAAAUAUCCACUGGCUUCUGUUGACUGUCUUCCAAAGGUGAACUUCUAUCAGCCAAUAUCCACCAACAUCAGUCUGCUUUAGCCUUGUAGCCUCUACCAACUUCCAAAUCCAAAAGCUACUGGUUCCAUCCACCAACAACUGCCAGCUUCUCUUAGGUCCAUCAUGAGACGUCCACCAGCUUCCAACCAUGGAUACCAGCAGCCUUCAAGCAAGCAAACUUGCCUUAUUAUCGCUCCCUAGCAUCCCACUGCCAGAGGAUUGCCUCCUUCCAUUCACCAAUUUGCCUCCUUCAAGUGGAAGAAACCUGGGCAGUGCUGAAUGUCAUAUCCCUUGCCAGGUGUGUCCUGUUGGAAAUAAAAAAGGGCUUUCCCCUUGGCCUGCCUUUAUAUCCACACAGUUGCCAAGUGCUUUUGUGACAUCACAAGAAACCCACAGCCAAUGGCAACAGCUGGGGAGGCAUCAUCUUCAUUGCUUUGAGCCUCACAGUGGCAGGGGGAGCUAUCAGUGAUUGUGUGCUUGUUUAUUUGGGACACUGGUGGCGCUGUGGUCUAAACCACCAAGCCUCUUGCCCCUGCUAAAAACCUUGCAGUUUUUGUUGUCACCUGAUCAUCUAGAUAGGUCUUGUGAUCCCUUCCAACUCUACAAUUUCAUGUUUUCCAAGAUUUGUUUUAUGGUAAUUCACAAGGGACAUGUGUGGUUUAGUGGCAUUGCACAGAGUAAAGGAGAUUGCCUGGAAGAUGUUUAAUAUGCCCACAUGAAUACAUGCAGUUAGGACCCAAAAGUAAAAUAUCAACUGACCUUCCCUGGGGAAAAUGAGAAAGCAUGGCAAGUUUAUUUUGAACUGUGUAAUCCAAAUAGUGAGAGAGGAUGCAAUUCUAAACGCUUUCAUGUGGAAGUAAGUCCCAUUGAAUUCAAUGUGCCUUAGAGCAGACAUGUUUAGACCUGCUGCUGUGAACAGGUUUCUAACAGGCAAUUAGAUACUUCAUUAACUUUUUCAUUUAAGGUCCCACAAGACUUAAUGGUUUGUUUGCUAACCCUUACUUUUUAGGAGGGAAAAAGUGAGUCUUAUAGAGCAAAAAAUACGGUAUAUGUAUAAAAGUUUUAAAACAUGUAUAUUUUUAACUUAUGUGUAUAUAAAUUUUAAAAUAUGUAUAGUUCUGCAUCCACAAACAACAAAACAGAAAAAAGAAUGAUUGAAAAUAAACCAAUUGUACUGAAAUAGGAAAUACCAGACAAAAGUGGAAAUGAAUGUUGGAUAGACUGAUGCACAUCCAUACACCCCUAACCACAAAUUAAGUGAAAUGCGCUAUUCCUGCAAGUACACAUAGAUCUUUUUUCCGCCUCUAGGUGAUGCAAAAAAAAUCGUAUUCCCACAGCUGAGAAACACCAUGCAAGCCGUGUUAAGGCAGAUCAUUUUCAAUAUGUCACAGUUUCGACACCAAUAUCACACAACGAAUAGUGUAUUUGCACCUUCACAUGAUAUCAGGCCAAUAUUUGCUAUGCUGGAGUGAACGCUUGUUUUUGAUUUCUUAAUGGUUUGGAAACUCAGUGCCAUAAUACAAAAAUCUGUGCGGUUUGUUUCCCCCCCUCCUUGCAGAUCACUCUAACAGAAACAUUGAGCUGUAAUACAAAUCGACAAAGAUGGUCGUACUGGGAUCAAGGAAAGGCAUAGUCAUGGCCACCUACAAGAAGAUGCUGGCAGCCCCAAGUGUUUUUCAUUCCCCCCACCCCUGUUGGCAAAGGUCAUCCCAGCCUUUCCUUCUCUUUGAAAUGUGUGAUGCUGACUCAUGUGGCAACGGUGGCACCACACAUAUGCUUGCAACAGAACAGGAAGUUGCAGGGGAACAGUCGAGUCAAUGGCAUAGUCUCAAGAAAAGCAUCGGCUCUGUGAUUAACUAUUGCACGACUAGGGGGAUCAUUUCCUCCCAUAUUCCUGAUUUCAGAGAGCACUGAAUAUUCAUGCUUAUACCACUGGCUAUUUGGAUACAUAAUGAAAACUGAAGUUCUCACCCUGGGCCAGCAGGGGGAUACUGUAGAUAGUUCAGGUCCACAUAUGCAAAUAAGGGAUCGAAAGUGAUGUUCAGUGAUUGGAUAGCUACAGAAAGUUGUUACAUUUACGUUGUACUGGAGCUCUAUAUAAGCAGGCUGGCUGAACCCUUCAGCUCUGUUCUGUUCUGACCUGUGAAUAAACAAGAGCUGUUUGGAGAAUCGCUGUGUCGUCUGAUAUGUUCACCCACAACUUAACAAAAACUGCAUUUACCCUGGGGCUUGUUGGCAUGCAGAGGGCUGGGAGGCCAACUGGCUAGCCCCAGCUGGACCGUCUCCUUCCAGCCGCCCUGCUGUGAAGACCCAUCGGCCUCUGCUCCAACGUAAAUCAGCGACCCAGGCUUCAAAGCCAGGGCACACUAUCAGCAUAUCGAACUGCACACACAGAAUAGGGGUGAGACUUGUGGAAGCAUACUAUAACUACAGAUUUAUUAAUCAUAUAUCAGGACAAAGAAACAUGUUGUGUCUCUCUCUCAUCGUCUCAGAGAGAACAGCAAAAGCAAAAGCUAUACGCAGCGAAAGUUCCCAGCAAGCUGUGCUGGAAUGUAAACAGAUAUGUGACACGUAACAAUCCCAUGUCUGUUCCGUAAGGUGGAACGGAAUUCUCAACAUGGCUAACGUACAUGCAUGCAACACCCAGCAAUGAUGGACAUUUCUGAUCCCCAGGACUCAUCUUCUGGCAUAUACUGCUACUUACAGGUAAAGGUAAAAAGGACCCCUGGACGGUUAAGUCCAGUCAAAGAUGACUAUGGGGUUAUGGAGCUCAUCUCGCUUUCAGGCUGAGGGAGCCAGCAUUUGUCCACAGACAGCUUUCCAGGUCAUGUGGUCAGCAGGACUAAACCACUUCUGGUACAACAGGACACUGUGACAGAAGCCAGAACGCACAGUAACACCGUUUACCUUCCCACCACAGCAGUACCUAUUUAUCUACUUGCACAGGCGUUCUUUCGAACUGCUAGGCUUGUAGGAGCUGGGACAGAGCAAUGGGAGCUCAUCCCAUCGCGAGGAUUCAAACUGCUAACCUUCCGCCCAGCAAGCCCAAGAGGCUCAGUGGUUUAGACCACAGCUCCACCUGUGUCCCGAAUAAACAAGCACACAAUCACUGAUAGGUCCCCCCGCCAUUGUGAGGCUCAAAGCAAUGAAGAUGAUGCCUCCCCAGCUGUUGCCAUUGGCUGUGGGUUUCUUGUGAUGUCACAAAAGCACUUGGCAACUCAGUAGAUAUAAAGCCAGACCAAGGGGAAAGCCCUUUUUUAUUUCCAGCAGGACACACCUGGCAAUGGAUGUGGCAUUCAGCACUGCCCAGGUUUCUUCCACUUGGAGGAGGCAAACUGGUGAAUGGAAGGAGGCAAUCCUCUGGCAGUGGGAUGCUAGGGAGCGAUAAUAAGGCAAGUUUGCUUGCUUGAAGGCUGCUGGUAUCCAUGGUUGGAAGCUGGCGGACAUCUCAUGAUGGACCUAACAGUAGCUUCUGACACAAUGGGAUGCCGUGACAGGAGCCAGAGUGCACAGAAAUGCUGUUUACCUUCCCGCCACAGCAGUACCUAUUUAUCUACUUGCACUGGUGUGCUUUCGAACUGCUAGGUUGGCAGGAGCUGGGACAGAGCAACGGGAGCUCAUCCCGCCAUGCAGAUUAGAACUGCCAACCUUCUGACUGGCAGGCCCAAGAGCAGGCACCCCCAACCUUCGGCCCUCCAGAUGUUUUGGACUACAAUUCCCAUCAUCCCUUACCACUGGUCCUGUUAGUUAGGGAUCAUGGGAGUUGCAGGCCAAAACAUCUGGAGGGCCACAGGUUGGGGAUGCCUGCCCAAGAGGCUCAGUAGUUUAGACCACAGCACCACCCACAUCCAUCUGAAUGGGACAUUGCUGUGGGCAGCCUGAGGAAGCGCCAUCCACCUUGGGUCUGCCCAUAAAAACCAAGUCUCAAGUGAGAGACUAGGCUGGUGCCCACUGCUUCCAAAAACUCUUUUUGUUGUGAG
Molecule: non-coding RNA, 18745 nt
Organism: Podarcis lilfordi (Lilford's wall lizard)
Lineage: Eukaryota; Metazoa; Chordata; Lepidosauria; Squamata; Lacertidae
Source: the annotation of a GenBank genome assembly